GUUCAACAUACUUUGCGAUAUCUCUUCCAGUUCAAACCGGUCAACCCCUGUUGGUCUGAGUCCUGAGGUAUGAACAUGGAGGCCCAUCUGUAUAAGGAAUUCUUUCCCCAAACAGGGAGUACAGGUUAUACAUAGUUCAAAUUCUUUCUACUCAUAAACAUAGGGGAAGGACAGAUAAGCAUAGAAAAAAGACAGAAGCCUAGCCUGCCAUGAUUAUAGGGUUGUUUUCUGGUUCUUUUCUUUAUCACUCCCACGUGGGAUACUCUCAAACAGCCUUCCAGCAUGCAAGCCACAGCCUGAGUGUCUGUGUGUAACUGCAACCAACCUGGGUUUUAUUGAAGGAUGACCCCAACACACCUCCAGUCCCAGAUCUUUCCCCAGAAAUGUAUGUACUCCGGAAGGGUACAGUAUAUUAAGUCUGUUGUUCCUUUAAGGGAAUAAUAUUCUGGUUUAUCACCCUAAAUAAUUGCCCAGAGACUUCGAUUUAGACCUGCUGGAUUCGAUUAAACAGUAAAACAAGUUUAUUAACUACAAAGGGAGAUUUUUAAGUGAGUACAAGUAACGAGGCAUAAAAGUCAGUGGUUACAAAAAAAAAGAUAAAAUACUUACUAGCAUUUACUUAAACUAUCUUAGUUGCAAAGCAGACUUUCCUUUCCAGACUUUCCAGUAUCUUCUCUUUGCAUCCAGACAAAGGAAAAGAUCAGCCAACAGUUCAAGCCAGAUGGUAGAGCUGGGUAAAAUCUUGGGUUUUUUGGUUUUUUUUUAUUUUUGUUUUUUAACUUAUGCAUUUUUAAUGUCUGUCUGUAACGUAUCCAGGAAUCACUAGGAUCUAUAGUGCAAAACUUUAUCAAGUUUUUGUGUCUUUUGCGUCAAAACUAUUUAUUCACAUGAGGAAUCCUUAUAUGGAAGGAGUCCCUCUGAAGUCAGUCAGGCUAUUUACACAUUUUGAGAUUCCUUAUGUGAAUAAUGCAGGGUCUACUGUACCAAAUUAGCAGAUAGACUAACUGAGAUAUAGCUUAGGGGACUCCAGACUCUAAUGAUGGUGUGAUUUCUCAUCAUACUUUGAAUGAUGACAUUUGGAGGUCCCUUAAUCUCAUUGUCUCAUGGUCCUGUACACACUUAAUAUUGUGUGCCUCCCCCCUUCACCCUCCAAGGAGAUACAGCACUGAAACCAAUUGCAGGCUAUUGUGAGAAGUUAUGGAAAUAACUGAAGAAGUCUAAUUUACUAAUCAAUUACUAUCACAUGCUAAUGUUUAACAGCCUAGUGGCAGCGGUUGCUCCAGUUCUGCUCCCUUACUACAAAUCACUGAGAUUCACAAAUAUGAAACACAUGUUUUCUGUCUGACCGUUGUCUUUUAUGGGAUAGCGGGGAUUGCAAACGCAGAUGCUCCGGUUCAUCUGAUUUUUGGCAGAUUGGGCUAUGUAUGGCCGCUUUGCUCUCUGAGCAGACAUUACUGUUAACAUAGCUUCACUGACUGGAGAACAGAUAUGGCCACAGGUAAUAAGCUUGGCCGAGCAUUUUAAAACAUCUUUGCUCUCUGUAGGCCCCGUUCACCUAGGUCUGGACUUUGACCUUAGACAUCUCCAUGAGGAACAAGUGGCGCAGAGGCAUCGUUCUGGUGCACAGCUCCUACCCUGCUUGCCUCUGCCCUGAGAGGGAAGUGCUUUGCACACAGCUGUCCACCCUGUGAAUUCAGCUGUUAAAACUUGUAGUAAUAUCCGCACAGGAUAAAGAUGUCUACAAAGCUAUGCAAGAAGAAGAGAAAUAUUUGCAGUUCGUCUGGGAAAUAAAUGCAUUUGGUUGACUAGCUGAAUCCAAUUCCAUGCAGUUUGUUCAUGCUGGUACUUGAACUGCUCUGAUAAAGCUGUUAGAAGGAAUACGAGCUACUGCAGUUAUUCGCUGGGAGAAGAAAAAAGCCACUGGCAAACAGGCAAUACACCAAGCAUACGAGAGAGGGGUCACGUCUUAUGUUUUAUACUAAGACAGAAAAAGCAAGAAAAAUGAACAACGCUGCAGCUGUUUUUGUUGUUUUAACAUGCUGAAUGCUGACGAAUAGCCAGUUUAGGGCUAAUUUCUAGACAUGCUUUGAUUUAAAGUGUUUUCUUCUAAGUGUGCUGAUUUAAAUGUUGUCCUCAGAAGGUUAAUGCAUCCGUCCCAGCCUGGAUCCUGACCAUGGGGUUUUGUUUAAAUCAUACUGACAAAACAAGGCAGUUUUAAACUUGAAAUUAAAACGGAGUAAAACUGAAUUCAACUAAACUCAUUUGCGCCCCUCCCCCCACCAGAUAGCAGUAGAAAUGAGACUAGUCUCAGCAGGUGAUGCCCCCUUUCAUAUGUUCCAGUGGUCUGUAUCAUUACUAAGGCACUUAACGGGCCUCAGCUGACAUCAGGGCCCAUUGUGCCAGUACCGUACAAAGCUCAAGUAAGAGUGUAACAGGGUGGCUUGCCCUGGGAGCUGGAGGUUGAGCCAGCUUGAUUGAGGGGAAUCAGGCAAAUUCCCCAUAAAGAGCAGAAGGUGGCUGCAGUACUGGAAACGAGAGCCAGGAUUAAGUGGUGGUAAAGCCCAGUUGGGAAAAGGGCUGGAGAGAGCCAGGCAGAAAGCAGAGAGAAAGGAAAUUACUCCAAGCAGGGUCCUGGGAGAGACAGAGGGACCUAGACGAAGCACCCAUGGAACACUACUGCCCCAGCUAAAAGGAGCAGCCCAGGGCCCUGAGCCCGAACCAAGAGUAGCAGGUGGCACUGGGCUCCCCUAAUGGUCCCAAGGAAAGGCGUGCACAAGCCCAACAUAAGGGCUGUAGGCUGAGCUGAAGCCAGGCUGAGAAAGAGCCGCAGAAAGGGGAAUGACCGUUGGCGGGGCGCACCAGCCCAGAGAGCUCCUUCGCCACACUUGGCCACGAGGAGUUGCCGAGUGGUAAGUGGACUAUAAAGAGACAAUGCCCCUCAUAGUUUACUGUCUAAACAACUGUGUACCCAUUCCCUCUUAGUCUGCACAGGUGCCUUUUAGACUAGUAUAGAGUGCCAAAAAUUUAAAAUGACUGAAAUUGUGUGGGAACUUGGCAGCAUGUCUCUUAACCAUCUUUUCCCCACUAACCUUCCAAAAUAUGGCUGUUUGCAAUAAUAGGAAAUCCAUAUUGAAUUUAUGGUCAGAUCCUUGUACUGUUCAAAGUCAGUGGUUAAAGGUUCCAUUGACUUGAAGGGUAUGUCUACCCUGCAGCCUAUAAGCACUGAAGUUUAUAAGAUGCAACGUUUAACAGUUUCUCUUAUUUUUACCUAGCAUCCACCUGCUUGAGAUUUGAAUUUCUUGCCUUGACCAAGAAAGCUCAGCACUUCAAGUUAGGGCUCCGUUUCCCCAAACUGUUGGCAGGCAUGAGCUCUUUCACAAAACCAUGCUAUUGCCUAAGGCCUUUGUAGCUUGCGCUGGAGGCAGAUGCACGGACAUGGCUGAACUACGGAGUGCAUGACAGGUCAGGUAGAAAGAUUGUUUAGUCAAUUAAUGAAAAGGAAGGAGCCGUUUUGCAAGUCUAAAAGGCUGUCAAGUUCAUUCUGCGACCAAGUUUUUCACCAGUAAAUAAGAGCCUAUUAAGGAGGGAGGAGAGACAACAGUGGUCAAAGUAGGCUGGUUGGCUGGUACAUUUUGGAAGCGUUACACACCAGCCACAUUUAACUCCCAGUACCUUAUUCUUCAGUUUAGAAAAGGGGAACACACAGUAUUGCCUCUGUUAGGUCAGCCAGUCCCGCUACUGGUUCUACAGUAACCCCUGCGUAGAGUCACAUGAUGGCCAUGGUGUGAGGAAGAACUAGACUUUGAAGAGUAAAUCACUCCACAGAGGAACGUUCAGCACAACCAGAAAUCUUGCCAGCCUAUAGAACAACUGCCACCUUUUCUUUACGGUGUAUGAAGAAAUCAAAUAGCCUUCCAGUCACCAGUUGAUUUUAUUGUUACAAUAUAACAAAGCAGUUUAUUUUCUUGUGCACUUCACAGUGUCCAAAAUGUGCUGCUAGGGUAUAGAAUGGAACUGACAUCACUUUCAUGGAAGUACGGAAUAAGACGGAAUGGCAGCCUAAUUUCUACCAUGACACUCUGGGAUGAGUACGCAAUGGCACCAGCUGAAAACAGACCAGCAGCAUAUGGACCUGGGCAACUUCAGGAUGCCAGCAGCAGCUGUACUCUGUGCCUUUGUUACCCUCAGGACUGCUGCUCUUGUGGCCUGAAGGGGUGCCACCCACAGAACACCUGACCAUGAGGAGGAGAAAGAAUAGGAGGAGGG
Molecule: long non-coding RNA, 4266 nt
Organism: Chelonia mydas (Green sea turtle)
Lineage: Eukaryota; Metazoa; Chordata; Testudines; Cheloniidae
Exons: 5
Source: RefSeq, a predicted model, not a curated record